GCAAACUUGGUCAUUUAGAGGAAGUAAAAGUCGUAACAAGGUCUCCGUAGGUGAACCUGCGGAGGGAUCAUUAACGAACGGCCUUCGGGCCUUCAAAACCCCAUCGAACCCGUGGACCGAUCAGGGCGUGCUUCGGCGUCCCUAGGACGCCGCGUCCAUGCAGAUAACGAGUCUGUCGUCUGAUCCAGAAACCAUGAGAAUCUAAAACUUUCAACAAAGGAUCUCUUGGCUCUCGCAUCGAUGAAGAACGCAGC
This 254-nucleotide unclassified non-coding RNA is filed under the name uncultured fungus. Its description in RNAcentral is "partial contains small subunit ribosomal RNA, internal transcribed spacer 1, and 5.8S ribosomal RNA". The stretch from base 1 to 73 matches the Rfam family "Eukaryotic small subunit ribosomal RNA", at positions 1759 to 1831 of the family's 1831-position model. Lineage: Eukaryota; Fungi. The record is from RNAcentral.